GGGCUAUCUAAUUAAUAUCCAUUCUUCAUUUCUGCUUCUGGGCUCUGAUAGGACAAAGACAUAGAGGAGACAGGAGGAAGUUAUCCAGUCAACCAAACACCAAAACAAAGUACAACAUCCCUAGAAGAACUUCUACCAUAUAUAUACAUACACCUCAAGCUGUCCUAUUAAGGAUUCUUUUUUUAAAUUUUAGGCUGACAUUAAUGUCCAGAGUGGGAAAGAGGGUUGUAAAGAAGGAAGAAUCAGGAAAGAAAAAAUAAACAGAAUAGUGAUCUUCCUUCUCUAAACCUUCACAACUAAAAUUCCUCACUAAAGCUUUUAAAUAAGUAGAAUUGACUGAAUCAGAACUGGUCUCCAGCCUGUGGGGACUGGAGCCAAAUAAAGCAGGCUAGAGGCAGGAGAGUAGUAAUCAAAUAGAAGUUUAAUCUCAAAGUGAGGAAAAUACUUGCAAGCAGAAGUCUACCUUCUUGAAAAGGAGGACUUAUGGCUUAUGGCUUAUGAUAGAAUUUUUAAGUUUGAAAAUCACAAAAAGGCAGAACCAAAGCAAUUAUUCUUAAGUCUUGAGUAAACAAGUUCCACAGUUGGCAUCUUGGGGACAACACAGAUAUUCUCAGAACCACUCUCUAAGUUUAGAAUUUUUGAGCCUUGUGAUUGUUUGGGUCAUUGAGUCUUGUGAUCAUUAAGCAGGGUAUAGAAUCAGAGUUAGCAUGGAGGGAAUAGAAAUGCAGUACUUCGUUCAGUUCACUUAGCAGUUACAAGCUUUACAAGUUAUAAGACUGUUUAGAAUGGCAGGAGAUGUGAUUGAUCAGUUUCUGCUACAGCAAGUGGCUGUAGUUCAGCUCUCAGGUCAGGAUUCUCUGGGGAAAAGGGAAACCAUAAAUCCUAGUUCUGAGGUUUUGCUAUGGCUGAGAUCAUCCAGAGGAUGAAUGCAAAGGAUUGUUGUGCUAAGCUCAGAAAACAGCCUGCUUGCUGGGCCUUAACCCUAGGAAACAAGAUGUCUCCUAAUAUCUUGACAGUAAUUUCCCAAUGGCUUCUUUUGAAAAGAAAAAUGAGUCAUAUUAUUUUGGAUAUCUUUUAUUACAGUGAAAUUUAUCAUGGGAAAAAGUGUGUAUUCAAACUUCCUAAAACUAAAGACACACUUCUAAAUGCCUUGUAAAUUCUUUAAAAAGAAAAAAAAAUCUCCAAAUACCUUGUAAAUUCUUUAAAAAGAAAAAAAAAUCUCAUAAAACUAAUGUUAAUUAAAUGUUUUCUUGACAUCUAUUAUAAUUAAUAAUUUUAGGCAAACUGCACAUAGUUAUGUGAAAGAGUUGUAUUUACAUUAAAAAGUAUGUUAUGGACCCUUGUAGAAUCAUUUUUAUAUCUCUCUUAUAUGGACAAGAAUUUAGAAAACUAUGGAUGCCCAUCAAUUGGAGAAUGGUUGGGUAAAUUGUGGUAUAUGAAUGUUAUAGAAUAUUAUAUAGUUCUGUAAGGAAUGACCAGCAGGAUGAUUUCAGAAAGGCCUGGAGAGACUUACAUAAACUGAUGCUAAGUGAAAUGAGCAGAACCAGGAGAUCAUUAUAUACCUCCACAACGAUACUGUAUGAGGAUAUAUCUUGACGGAAGUGGAUUUCUUCGACAAAGAGAAGAUCUAACUCAGUUUCAAUUGAUCAAUGAUGGACAGAAGCAGCUACACCCAAAGAAAGAACACUGGGAAAUGAAUGUAAAGUGUUUGCAGUUUUGUUUUUCUUCCCGGAUUAUUUUUACCUUCUGAAUCCAAUUCUUCUUGUGCAACAAGAGAACUGUUUGGUUCUGCACACAUAUUGUAUCUAGGAUAUAUUUAACACAAAU
This is a long non-coding RNA of Sarcophilus harrisii (Tasmanian devil), 1827 nucleotides long. The record is from Ensembl. Lineage: Eukaryota; Metazoa; Chordata; Mammalia; Dasyuromorphia; Dasyuridae.